Long non-coding RNA from Papaver somniferum (opium poppy), 2946 nucleotides. RefSeq lists it as uncharacterized. The transcript has 11 exons. Lineage: Eukaryota; Viridiplantae; Streptophyta; Magnoliopsida; Ranunculales; Papaveraceae. The record is from RefSeq and is a predicted model, not a curated record.
GAGCACAUAGACAAAAAGCUCACAUUCCGCGCUAGCUUGCUUGAAGAUGGGGACAUUAUUUGCUUUCAGAAACCUGCUUCUGCUGAUAGAAUGACAGUAUGCCGCUAUCCGGAUGUUCCUUCUUUUCUGGAAUAUGUUCAUAACCGUCGGGUAUAUAUGACAUACAUUGUCAUAUCAUCAGUGGUUGGAUUGAGCAACAUAAUUGGUUACAGGAUAGCUGCAGUUGAAGGAUCUUGAGUAUAUCCAUAACCUACUUUCAAACUUAAAGUCUGUAUUUAUUCUGUUGUGUUAGGUUGUCCAUUUCUGAUCUCUAGACAAGCCGGAGGAAGAUGGUUUCUGUCCAGAGCUGCAAGUACGUCUGUAUCUAAAUAUUAUAGUUUGACUUUUGUAUGUAUUUGAGUUUUAUACCUUUUUUUUAAUUAUCUAGGUCAAAGGUAUUAACAUAUGAUGAUGUCACGGAAAGAGUUGCUCGUCAUAUUGGUUUGGACUUUGGAUGACCCAGCCAAGAUCAGACUUACCCCUCAUAAUUGUUACUCUCAGCAGCCUAAAUCCCAAGCUAUCAAGUACCGAGGCAAGGUUUGAAAGCUCUAAAGGGUGCUUUAUCAUGCAACUAAUGCAAAUACUGUCGUUCAUAGUGUUAGGCUUCCGAAACAGAGUACGAUUGGUGAUGUGAUUAGUUAUCUGAAGACAAAGGUUGAACCGUCUUAUCCUGAUACGGAACUUAGAUCUCUGGAAGUUUUCUACCACAAGAUUUACAAGAUUCCAGAGGAGAAGAACUUGGGUCUUUGGGAUUGCUUGAUUCAUGUUUAUCACUUCACAAACGAUGCAUCUCAAAGCCAAAUGCUACAUUGUACAAAAUUUUGGGGAACCAUUUUUGUUCACCAUUCAUGAAAGAGAGAUUAUAGGUGAAGUCAAAUUGAGGAUACAGAAGAAACUGCAGUUUCCCGACGAGGAAUUCGCUAAGGUGGAAGUUCGCAUUUGUAUCAUUGGGUCGACCUGAGUACCUUCAGGACUCGGACAUAGUGGCCAGACGUUUUCAGAGGAGAGAUGUUUAUGGAGCUUGGGAGCAGUACCCUAGCUUGGAGCAUUCUGACAGUUCCUGGAAAAGAGCGGAAAGCGGCUGAUAGUUUGCGUUCAUAUAACACCGAAGGUCUGAAAGGACAAACACCAGAUGAGGUUGAAGUUUUUGCAUUAGGUGAUAUAAGUUCCUUGCUCAAUUAUCCAACUGCUGGUCAACAUUUUCUACCAGGGGAACAUCAGCAAGGCGUUCUUGAUGAGAAAUAUGAAGACAUUGGAGGGUUCAGUGUUCUGAAAGCCCAAACACCAUUGUUUAAGAGGAUAUGGUUAAGAUAUGGGCAUAUUGCUACCAACCAAGACUUUAAGUAAAGGGAGGUUUGUUAAAACGGGUAGAAGGCCAUAAAUUUCCCACUUUAGGUAGAAAGGCUUCAAAGGUAGGUCACUGACAUACAUGCCUGACAUUCUGAAACGUUUUUCUGGCGGAAGUUUUUGGUCAGGUGCUAUAAAAAGUUUAAAACUUGCUAAUAUAGCUCUUAAAAGUAUAUAAACAAAUCAGGUCUUAAAGCAUCCUAGUCCCCGUUAACAACAACCGGAAAUAUUGGUGUAGGGUAUGCUUGGUUCUAGCGAACACUUUACAAUGCCAAUUUUUAGAUCGGGUAACUACAUUCUUUGUAGCCUACUAAAUUUUGAAAGCCUUCUUGGGGAUUUUCUAUUAUGAAACAAUGACAGUGAUGUGUUCAAUAGAUGAAUGCAUACAGGGCUAGUAAACUAGAGGAAGGAUUAUGUAGUAAAACAGCCCUUACAUCAUUCUCAUAUGGUUUGGCGUGAGGUUUCAUCAAGCAAUAUUGUUGAUCUCAAUCACAGCAAGAGAUGUUUUGAUACAGGUUGAUAACAGCGCUUAUUGGAUUUCAGAGGAAUUAUUACUGCCGGUAAAUGUUUCCAGCAGUGUUUGAUCUGUGAGUUGAUCUCGUAUAUUUUCGAGUUUUGUGGGUGUUUCGUUGCUCCUUUUUUAAACAGCAUCUCGUAAUGAACUGCUUGCUUGUGAAAAUGAAAUGCCCCUAAACAUUGUCUACAUGAGAUGUUCAGAGAAAUUGCAGUUCGACCAUUCAAGCGAGAUGAAAGAUGUUCAUUUUGAGUUGUUGUUCAUUUUGUUCGAAGUGGAAACCAUUUUCUGAAAAUCUCAGCAGCUUGAUGGGCCGCUAUAAGACAUCCCAUAACCAAAAUAUAAGACAUUCCAUAACUGCUUGAAGGGGAAAAGUACAACCAGGUUAAGUCAGCAACCUCUUAAAAGAAACUCGAGUAUUUUUUUUUCAGGUAAGUAGGGAAUCAAACUAGGCCUUAAAUUCACAGAAAUAUUUAAGGCAACAAAACUAGUGACAAAAUCUCUAGGUGAACAAACUAGUGAUAAGAAAAAACCGGUCAUAUUAUUUUUAACAAAUAAAAACCAUUUCAAACAAAACUGGGAAAAAAAACCCAAUUUAAAUAAAAAUUUUAAAAUUUAGUUUUUAUUAAUUUUUAUAAUCUCAAUCCUACCCUUUAGCGUAUAUAUCCUUAUCGAUCCUUCUUCUCCUCUCGUUUAAUAGUUUCAUUUCUUUUUUCUUCCCCCCUACCACCACCAGAAACUCCUCCGAUUGCAGCACCACCACUAAGCCACUGUCACUUCCAGAUCUGCCACGAUCACCUCUGCCUCUUCCUGUCCUCCCUCGCCAACACUUCUGUUUCUUUUUUUCCUACUACGAUUUCAGAUCGCCACCAGCAUCAUCUCCGCCGCCACCAAACCACAUCUGACAUCAACAACACCUCCAUCUCUUCCUUCCCCACCAUCAUCACUGGAAGCACCUCAUCUUUCUACUCUGAAAGCAACACCAAUAUUCGCGGAUAUACACAGAAGAACUUCAAUUAUUCCGUUGAUUAUAAAAACAAAAUUCG